AGUGGAUGGGGAGCAACCUAGUUGUGCGUGUGUAAAGGUAGUGCCAAGAAAAGCGAUGAUCAUGUUGAAAAUCAAUUCCCGGUACCCGAAACCGACACAGGUGGGCAAGUAGAGAAUACUAAGGGGCGCGAGGUAACUCUCUCCAAGGAACUCGGCAAAAUGACCCCGUAACUUAGGGAGAAGGGGUGCCACCGAGAGGUGGUCGCAGUGAAGAGGCCCAGGCGACUGUUUAGCAAAAACAUAGGUCUCUGCAAACUCGAAAGAGGAGGUAUAGGGGCUGACGCCUGCCCAGUGCCGGAAGGUUAAAGAAGUUGGUCAGUUUUAGGAUGAAGCUAGCGACUGAAGCCCCGGUGAACGGCGGCCGUAACUAUAACGGUCCUAAGGUAGCGAAAUUCCUUGUCGGGUAAGUUCCGACCCGCACGAAAGGCGUAACGAUCUGGGCGCUGUCUCGGAGAGAGGCUCGGCGAAAUAGGAUUGUCUGUGAGGAUACGGACUACCUGCAUUUGGACAGAAAGACCCUAUGAAGCUUUACUAUAGCUUGGAAUUGUGUUCGGGCUUCCUGUGCGCAGGAUAGGUGGGAGGCGUAGAAGGUAUUCUUGUGGGGAUACUGGAGCCAACGGUGAGAUACCACUCUCAGGUGGCUAGAAUUCUAACUUAAUUAAGGACAGUUUCAGGUGGGUAGUUUGACUGGGGCGGUCGCCUCCAAAAAGGUAACGGAGGCGUACAAAGGUUCCCUCAGACUGGUUGGAAAUCGGUCGAAGAGUGCAAAGGCAGAAGGGAGCUUGACUGCGAGAAGUACAGUUCGAGCAGGGUGGAAACACGGUCUUAGUGAUCCGACGGUGCUGUGUGGAAGGGCCGUCGCUCAACGGAUAAAAGUUACUCUAGGAUAACAGGCUGAUCUCCCCCAAGAGUUCACAUCGACGGGGAGGUUUGGCACCUCGAUGUCGGCUCAUCGCAACCUGGGGCGGAAGUACGUCCCAAGGGUUGGGCUGUUCGCCCAUUAAAGCGGUACGUGAGCUGGGUUCAGAACGUCGUGAGACAGUUCGGUCCAUAUCCGAUGUAGGCGUGAGAAUAUUGAGAGGAGCCUUCCUUAGUACGAGAGGACCGGGAAGGACGCACCGCUGGUGUACCUGUUAUGAUGCCAAUUGUAAACGCAGGGUAGCCAAGUGCGGAGAGGAUAACCGCUGAAAGCAUCUAAGUGGGAAGCCCACCUCAAGAUGAGUAUUCUGGUGUAAGGUCGCGGGAAGACGACCCGUAAAUAGGCACGAGGUGGAAGUGCAGAGAUGUAUGAAGCCGAAGUGUACUAAUAGACCGUCGGCUUGACC
This 1325-nucleotide ribosomal RNA is filed under the name metagenome. RNAcentral describes it as "bacterial LSU rRNA". It matches the Rfam family "Bacterial large subunit ribosomal RNA", at positions 1561 to 2925 of the family's 2925-position model. The record is from RNAcentral.